Paramormyrops kingsleyae is the source of this 901-nucleotide long non-coding RNA. RefSeq lists it as uncharacterized. NCBI's taxonomy places the organism in Eukaryota, Metazoa, Chordata, Actinopteri, Osteoglossiformes, Mormyridae. The record is from RefSeq and is a predicted model, not a curated record.
ACAGCACCCUUCCUCUGCCCCCCUCCACGAGUGGUGCGCAAAUGGCCGGGUGCGAUUCCCCGAGAAGCAUAUCCGCGUCAUUGGGAAAUGAUCGGGAAAUGUCCAGCUUAAGUAAGGCAUCACUAAUGCGCCUCGGAGCGCUACGCUCAUCCGCGAAGCCCGACUAAAUGGCGGCUUCGGCUGCCAUCCACCGAGCAAAGUGCGGGGAUCAUCCCUGAGACUGUCAGAGGGGAGCAGACAGCGGCAUCCCCCCGCCGGCCUCGCCCGGAGACACCCGGCAGGGGGGAGCUCCUCCACCUCGCCGUUAUUUCUGACAGACAAACUCCUGUCUUCACCGACUGACAUAAUUGCAGCAUGAUGGAUUUAGCUGCGUUUGGUGACGGCAAGGUUUUACUGCGGCCGACGGACGCCGGAAGGUCCUUUGAUGGAUUCGUGGCAGCCCGGUGCGGCAGGUCCCAGAUGGCUGCUUGAACAAGUAGACAAGGAGGAAGGUCUGCAAGCCGCUGAGGACAGGAGUUGGAUGACAUAGCCAGCAGUGGAGACCCAGCAAGCUGUGUUCCAGCAGAGGGCCGAGGACACGAGGACAGCAGAGGGCCUGAAGGACCAGGGCCGUGCUGUUCAGGUAGCAGCCUGUCCCAGCAGAAGGACAGACUGCGCAUUUGUCAUGUCAUAUUUGUCAGAGCAGAGCGUGUGGCGGCGGUUUGAGUCGCACUUAAGCAAAUACAGGAAUGAUUGAACCCUCGAGGCUCUGGUUUAGUUUUGAUUUACGGCAGCUCAUAUUAGGGGUCAUUAAGAAAAUAAUCAUGAUUUAUAAAUCCUUUUUUCGUAAAGAGGAGGAGGGGGAAAAAAGGAGUCCAAGCAGGCUGAGCAAAUUGAGUUUGGGCUUUGCGAUAUCGUUUCU